AGCCUGGAGACAGGUGCUGCAUGGCUGUCGUCAGCUCGUGUCGUGAGAUGUUGGGUUAAGUCCCGCAACCGAGCCGCAACCCUUGUCUUUAGUUGCCAUCAUUCAGUUGGGCACUCUAAAGAGACUGCCGGUGUCAAACCGGAGGAAGGUGGGGAUGACGUCAAGUCCUCAUUGGCCUUUAUGACCAGGGCUACACACGUACUACAAUGGCCGGUACAAAGGGCAGCCACUUAGCGAUAAGGAGCCAAUCCCGUAAAGCCGGUCUCAGUCCGGAUUGGAGUCUGCAACUCGACUCCAUGAAGUUGGAAUCGCUAGUAAUCGCAGAUCAGCACGCUGCGGUGAAUACGUUCCCGGGCCUU
RNAcentral lists this ribosomal RNA (359 nucleotides) under uncultured Desulfocapsa sp. Its description in RNAcentral is "bacterial SSU rRNA". It matches the Rfam family "Bacterial small subunit ribosomal RNA", at positions 1025 to 1382 of the family's 1533-position model. Lineage: Bacteria; Pseudomonadati; Thermodesulfobacteriota; Desulfobulbia; Desulfobulbales; Desulfocapsaceae. The record is from RNAcentral.